Molecule: ribosomal RNA, 292 nt
Filed under: uncultured bacterium
Lineage: Bacteria
Description: partial 16S ribosomal RNA
Rfam family: Bacterial small subunit ribosomal RNA
Source: RNAcentral
GUGCCAGCCGCCGCGUUAAUACGGAGGGUGCAAGCGUUGUCCGGAAUCACUGGGCGUAAAGGGUGCGCAGGCGGGGCAACAAGUCGGAGGUGAAAGCCCGUGGCUCAACCACGGAAGUGCCUUCGAAACUGUUGCUCUUGAGUCCCGGAGAGGUUGCCGGAAUGCGUGGUGUAGCGGUGAAAUGCGUAGAUAUCACGAGGAACACCAGAGGCGAAAGCGGGCAACUGGACGGGUACUGACGCUCAGGCACGAAAGCGAGGGGAGCAAACAGGAUUAGAAACCCGAGUAGUCC